AUCUGCGGAGGAGCGAUGCGAUCAAAGAGCGAGGUGGAACACAACCUGACGGGUGACGGCGUCGCAACAUCCAAGGCAUUGUUCGUGAUCGCGUGGCUGUCGAACACGAAGAACAAGGAAGUGGUCGUCGGCGUGUUGUCUACAGGCGGAGCGAAGGAGGGACCACCACUUGCUGCCAGGAGCAUCCCGUGCCCGGAACUCAGCUAACCUGCAACGCAGCUACAUAAUGAAUACAACAACGAGUAAACGUGAAUUAAAGAGAGCGUUUGACGAAACCUAUCAGCAGACCUGCAGGGCCUUCACACAGUGGAAGAGGAAGAGGGAGGAGACAAUCUCACAUUUCCGAAGAGUUGCGGACGCGUUGGACAAGACGCAGCGGGAUGUUGAUGGCGCAUGGGCGAUUGGAGUUGGCGCCAUGGCCACUGGUGCUCUUGCGGCAGUUGGAGGUCUUUUAGCCACCCCGCUAAUGCUUGGUGUGUCUGCACUGACGGCUGGUGGCGUGGCAUUGGGUUUGAUGGGUGGUGCGGUAGCUACAGGUAGCAUACUCUCCAAAGAAUUUAUUGAAAACAAUAGUCUUGAUAAAGUCGAGAGAACCAUUGAAGAAGAGAGAAACAGUAUGGAUAAUCUAAAGCAGUGUCUCAAUGAGUUGAUCAAAAUUUGCGACCAGCUUGCCUUAAAACGGCCUCGUAAUCAGAGGGUCGUUGCCUUAAGAGAAGCCCAAAAUCAGCUUCAAGACGAGCUUAAGGUCAGCACAGUGCCGGUAAGACGACGGGCCGUCUCAGAUGAUGGCAUGCUUGAUGGGGGCAAAGCGAAAAAGCUAGGUUCUGUCUCAAACACAAAGAACCUUCGUCCUGCCAAGAGCAUGGAGCUAUUGUCCAUUCCUUCCUUUGUAGCAGUUUUUAGCACUGUCAGCAUAGGCAUCAGCACAGCAUUUGUGAUCUAUCUAAGUGAUAGUAUAAGGAACGGAAGCAAGUCGGAAACGUCACAGAGACUAAGAGCGAGAGCAGGUGACUUUGAGUUCCAUUUGGAGGCGUUCAGAAAUUUUAUCACUAAGUUUGAUGCGGAAAAUAAGAGAGCAGACAGUAGGCUGCGUCGGCUGUGGAGACGAGUAUUCAAAAAAUAAUAACUAACUUCAAAUAUGGAUUCGUGACAAACGAAAACAACACCACAUGGUGCCAUUACCAGCCACAUUUUAUAAUAGUAUCUUUAUAUUUCUUGGUUCGCUGCACUUUCACUCUGGUAUGAUAUCAAUUAUUAAUCUAUUGCAAAGGCAUGUACUCAAAAUUGGCCAGGACCGUAUACCAAAAAAUACCCUAAGAUGGACACCAACGGGCAAAAUGAAACCUGGGAGACCCUAGACCACGUGGCGCAAGACCGUGAAGGACGAGCUUUUGGCAGCGAUCGACCUCUCUUGGGGCGAGGCUUGACAUGUUGCCAAGGAAAAGAAGAUACUGGAGGGAAAUCAUUGCGGCCUUAUGUCCUAUAGAGAAUUAACAUAAUUAACUAAGGCAGAACAAUAGCGUAUUUGCCCGGAAGGGGAAGAGUUUUAAAUGUAAUCCUACUUACAAAAAAUGGUUUCAGGGUUGUGAAUUGUAUAUCCUUCAAGCUAGUAAAGACCACAUGGAGUGGAGGGAGUACACAAUUGUACCCCUUCACACGUCACGACAAGUGUAAGCCUUUUCCACUGGAACAUCUGAACCGCGCCAGCACAGGGCACUCAUGGUACAGCUGGUAUUCCGCGUGCCGUAACAAAACCAUAAUACGAGACUUAUUAAUCUGGCUCAGAGCCAAGCUUGGCCAGGGGUGGGACUAAUAAUACAUUAGCUGUACUGACAUCACGUUGCGUUUCAUGUCAGUCAGUGCAGCUCAAGAACAGCGUCCCUGCGUCACCUACAUACAUCUCAAUGGGUUAAUUGCGUAUGAUGUCAGUGACACACCGACAUUGUACUCACCGCAGAGAACUGUGACGACACCACCGCACUCUGUAAUAGCUGGUGCCAAACUAUGCCAGACGCCCUCCCGCAUGGCCUUGUGGGAGCCUCGGUACUGAUAAAGUUAUUUGAUUUGAUUUUUCUUCCGGUUCUGUUUUGAUGACGUACGGAAUCAGAAGAAAACCCGUUGACGUACAGGACGAGAAAAUGUUAAUCUGGCUUGGAUCCAAGAGGGGGUCAGACUAAUAAUAUGAUAGCCGUACUAACUGAAAUCAUGAUGCAUGUGAUGUCAGUCAGGACAGCUCAAACACAGCGCCCCCGCUUCCCCUUCAUACAUCUGAAUGGCUUAAUUGCGUUUGAUGUCAGUGACACGCUGAAGUCACGGCUCAGCUUCUACAGUGGAAAAACAACCAGGUGUCUCCAGAGCCGCGCUGGGCUGGCUUAACACGGCUCCUGCACAGUGCUGUUGUACUGCAGUGGAAAUAUGUACGUGUGCCUCAAAUUGACACCCCAGUGAUAGAAAUUGGUCAAGGGAGAAUUAGGGCUGUAACGAUACGUCAAUGAAUUACUUCUUAAUACAGAGAAGAGUGAAGGGCAGGAAAAGGGGAUAAAAAUGGUUUCGGGGUACUUGUUCAUGGGCAAAGUACAGAAUAUUUAUCUUUAUUAUUGUUUGCUUUAUAAUGAGUCAUGCUGCUGCAUUGGAUUCAUAUUGUUUAUCUGAUGGGUAAAUGAAUAAUGUAAAAGUUUACCGAAUCUGCUGGGGCAGUCGUGAUUGCGAGUUAUUGUUGCUAGAGUUAAUGUGACACAUGUUCGUACUGUUCCAUGUUGAUAUUUGGUUAUGAAUAUGUUAUAUAGUAUUCUUGGGUCUUUCGGUAGAGUCACGUUCAAAAUAAC
Petromyzon marinus (sea lamprey) is the source of this 2825-nucleotide long non-coding RNA. RefSeq lists it as uncharacterized. The record is from RefSeq and is a predicted model, not a curated record. NCBI's taxonomy places the organism in Eukaryota, Metazoa, Chordata, Hyperoartia, Petromyzontiformes, Petromyzontidae.